GUGCCAGCAGCCGCGGUAAGACGAACCGUGCGAACGUUAUUCGGAAUCACUGGGCUUAAAGGGCGCGUAGGCGGGCCCGCCAGUCAGGGGUGAAAUCCCACGGCCCAACCGUGGAAGUGCCUCUGAUACUGCGGGCCUCGAGGGAGGUAGGGGCGUGCGGAACUCAGGGUGGAGCGGUGAAAUGCGUAGAUAUCCUGAGGAACACCGGUGGCGAAAGCGGCGCGCUGGACCUCUUCUGACGCUGAGGCGCGAAAGCCAGGGGAGCAAACGGGAUUAGAUACCCCAGUAGUCC
Molecule: ribosomal RNA, 292 nt
Filed under: uncultured bacterium
Lineage: Bacteria
Description: partial 16S ribosomal RNA
Rfam family: Bacterial small subunit ribosomal RNA
Source: RNAcentral